AGAAUCAACGCUGGCGGCGUGCCUCAGACAUGCAAGUCGAACGUGACGCUUCGGGUCUUCGGACUUGAGGCGUUGAGUGGCGCACGGGUGAGUAACACGUGGGCAAUCUACCUUUGGGUGGGAAGUAUCAGCUGGAAACGGACUGUUAAUACCGCAUAAAGCAAUUAUAGUCCUUGGACAGUAGUUGUUAAAGCGUGGGAUCUAUUUAUAGACCAUGCGCCAGAAGAGGAGCCCGCGGCGGAUAGCUAGUUGGUGAGGUAACGGCUCACCAAGGCUGUGAUCCGUAGCCGGCCUGAGAGGGCGACGGACCACACUCGACAACUGAAAUACGGUCACGACGUCGUACGGGAG
This 351-nucleotide ribosomal RNA is filed under the name uncultured soil bacterium. Its description in RNAcentral is "bacterial SSU rRNA". It matches the Rfam family "Bacterial small subunit ribosomal RNA", at positions 26 to 347 of the family's 1533-position model. The record is from RNAcentral.